UAACACUGUUAGGUUUGUCUCAUUUCGUUGACCUACAGAGACUGACAAGGUUUGUUUUCAACCCGCACCCCCCAAACAGCAUAAACCUUUUAACUAUAUUAUGUUUUUAGAUAGGUGUUCAGUUAACUCAACAGAGCUUAGCUUUAACUUGUUUGGCAAAAUCUUGUGAUAUAUAACUACCUCCUACAUGAAAGAACAUUUUGUAUCAAAGAACAGAAGUGUACUUCGUACCAGGCAACAGCCUCCAUACACUUGCUGGGAUCAGUAUAUUUUAUAAAUGGUACGAUUUGUCAUCCUAUAUAAUGUUUUGCUUGAAAGGUACAAAGAAAAAAACAUGUAACUAAUGUUUAAAAAAUAUCUGGCAGGGAAGGAAGAAUAUUCCAUGUCUUUGUAUAGGUAUAUUUUGGUUAUUAAGAUGUGUGUUCUCUAACAUCAGUUGUUUUAAGUGUUAAACUAUCAGAUUGAUUAGCAUUGCUUCAGACCUGAGGAAGAGAGGAAAGCUCUC
Pelobates cultripes (western spadefoot toad) is the source of this 505-nucleotide non-coding RNA. The record is from the annotation of a GenBank genome assembly. NCBI's taxonomy places the organism in Eukaryota, Metazoa, Chordata, Amphibia, Anura, Pelobatidae.